AGCGAACGCUGGCGGCAGGCUUAACACAUGCAAGUCGAACGGUCCUUCGGGAUAGUGGCGGACGGGUGAGUAACACGUGGGAACGUACCCUUAGGUUCGGAGCAACACAGGGAAACUUGUGCUAAUACCGGAUAAGCCCUUCGGGGCAAAGAUUUAUCGCCUUUGGAGCGGCCCGCGUCUGAUUAGCUUGUUGGUGAGGUAAUGGCUCCCCAAGGCUACGAUCAGUAGCUGGUCUGAGAGGAUGGCCAGCCACACUGGGACUGAGACACAGCCCAGACUCGUACGGGAGGCAGCAGUGGGUAAUUUUGCGCAAGGGGCGAAAGCCUGACGCAGCGAUGCCGCGUGGAUGGUGAAGGUCUUAGGAUUGUAAAAUCCUUUCACCGGGGACGAUAAUGACGGUACCCGGAGAAGAAGCCCCGGCUAACUUCGUGCCAGCAGCCGCAGUAA
This 447-nucleotide ribosomal RNA is filed under the name uncultured bacterium. RNAcentral describes it as "partial 16S ribosomal RNA". It matches the Rfam family "Bacterial small subunit ribosomal RNA", at positions 29 to 523 of the family's 1533-position model. The record is from RNAcentral.